This 253-nucleotide ribosomal RNA is filed under the name uncultured Comamonadaceae bacterium. RNAcentral describes it as "partial 16S ribosomal RNA". It matches the Rfam family "Bacterial small subunit ribosomal RNA", at positions 524 to 776 of the family's 1533-position model. Lineage: Bacteria; Pseudomonadati; Pseudomonadota; Betaproteobacteria; Burkholderiales; Comamonadaceae. The record is from RNAcentral.
UGCGUAGGGUGCAAGCGUUAAUCGGAAUUACUGGGCGUAAAGCGUGCGCAGGCGGUUUUGUAAGACAGAGGUGAAAUCCCCGGGCUCAACCUGGGAACUGCCUUUGUAACUGCAAGGCUAGAGUACGGCAGAGGAGAGUGGAAUUCCGCGUGUAGCGGUGAAAUGCGUAGAUAUGCGGAGGAACACCGAUGGCGAAGGCAACCCCCUGGGCCUGUACUGACGCUCAUGCACGAAAGCAUGGGGAGCAAACAGG